GCAGGCGUAGUUCAGUGGUAGAACACGACCUUGCCAAGGUCGAUAUGCGGGUUCGAUUCCCGUCGCUUGCUCCA
RNAcentral lists this transfer RNA (74 nucleotides) under Candidatus Enterosoma merdigallinarum. RNAcentral describes it as "tRNA-Gly". It matches the Rfam family "tRNA". From Rfam's summary of the family: Transfer RNA (tRNA) molecules are approximately 80 nucleotides in length. Lineage: Bacteria; Bacillati; Bacillota; Bacilli; Caryophanales. The record is from RNAcentral.